RNAcentral lists this unclassified non-coding RNA (2401 nucleotides) under Amphibalanus amphitrite. RNAcentral describes it as "protein disulfide-isomerase A5-like, transcript variant X4". Lineage: Eukaryota; Metazoa; Arthropoda; Thecostraca; Balanomorpha; Balanidae. The record is from RNAcentral.
CUUUUGGGAUGCGAUAUAGGAGCAUUUUUGAUGAAAGUUGAAGUGCUGUGUCAGUGACUCCCACACAAUCUGCUGGCAUCAUGCUUUGGACACAAAAAGCCUUACUGGCCAUACUUAUUCUGGCCGGCUGCAUGCUGCCGAGUCAGCAGCAGGCUAGGAAGGCCAGCCCCGUCGUCGACGUGCAGGACCCCAAGGAGUUCAAGAAGCUGCUCAAGACGACGCCGAACGUGCUCUGUCUGUUCGUCAAGAGCGCCGGCGUGGCCAAGGAGAUGAAGCGUGUGGUGGGCCUGACGGCCGAACAGGUCAAGGGCGUCGGCUCGGUGUUCUACGUCGACUGCAGCGGCGAGGGCCGCAAGAUCUGCAAGAAAUACAAGGUGGCGCCGGAGCCGGCGGCGCUGAUACACUACAAAGACGGCGCCUUCCACAAGGACUACGACCGCAAGAUGACGGUAACGUCGAUGGUGAACUUCAUGCGGGACCCGUCCGGCGACCUGCCCUGGGAGGAAGACGCCACAGCGGAGGACGUGGUUCACCUCAGUAACGCUCAGGCGCUGGCCGGCCUGCUGCGCCGCGAGGACAGGGCGCUCGUCAUGUUCUACGCUCCCUGGUGCGGAUUCUGCAAACGGAUAAAGCCCGAGUACGCGGCAGCGGCCACGGAGACGCGAGACAAACACGUGUUUGCCGCUAUUGACGUCAACCAGCCGGAGAAUUACGGCGUGCGGCAAAAGUACAAUAUCACCGGCUUCCCCACGCUUCUCUACUUUGUGAAGGGCGACGUAAAGUUCACGUAUGACGGAGAGUACAAUAAGGACGGUCUGAUGAAGUUUAUGGAUAGCCCCGGCCAGGCGGCGCCCAAGCCCAAAGAGGAGGUCUGGGCCGACACUCCGAGCGACGUGGUCCAUCUCACCGACAACAACUUUGACGACUUUGUCAAGGCCAACCCGUCCGUCCUGGUGAUGUUUUACGCGCCCUGGUGCGGACACUGUAAGCGGAUGAAGCCCCAGUACGAGGAGGCGGCAGCUGCCAUGAAGAAAGACGGCAAGUCGGGCGUUCUGGCCGCCCUGGAUGCCACCGAACACAAGGUGAUUGGCAGUCGGUACGACAUCAAGGGCUACCCGACCGUCAAGUACUUCCGCGACGGUGAGAUGGCCUUCGACCUGAACGUGCGCGACAAAGACAAGAUCCUCGAGUUCAUGGCAGACCCUCAGGAGCCGCCGCCGCCGCCGCCGCCCGAGACGCCCUGGUCGGAGGAGACGUCCGACGUGCAGCACCUCACCGACCAGACGUUCAAGGCGUUCCUCAAGAAGAAGAAGCACGUUCUGGUGAUGUUUUACGCGCCCUGGUGCGGCCACUGCAAGAAGGCCAAGCCCGAGUUCAGCGCGGCGGCUGCGGAGUUCAGUGACGACCCCAAGGUGGAAUUCGCGGCGGUGGACUGCACAGUCGAAACGGCUGUCUGCAAUGCCAACGACGUCAAGGGCUACCCCACGAUGAAGUACUACAACUAUUUCAAGACGUCGAAGCCAUAUGACGGCGGCCGGACGAAAUCGGACUUUGUCAAGUUCAUGCGCGACCCUAGCAACCCUCUGUCGGCCGCACCGCCGGCGCCCGCCCCGGAGGAGGAGUGGGGCGACCUACCGGGCGCCGAGCACCUCAAGCACCUCACGGACGCCGGGUUCGACCAGGCGGCGCGACAGGCAGACCCCAUGCUCGUCAUGUUUUAUGCGCCCUGGUGCGGUCACUGUAAGCGGAUGAAGCCCGCUUAUGCGGAGGCGGCGGCGCGCCUCGCCAAGUCCGGCCAGGCGGGUGUGGUGGCCACAGUAGACGCGACAGUGCAGCGGGGACUCCAGGACCGAUUUGACAUCCGGGGCUUCCCGACAAUCAAGCUGUUCCGCGGCGGCCAGGUGGUAGCUGACUAUAACGGUGAGCGCACAGCGGACGCGCUCUUUUCAUACAUGCGCUCACCGCCGGGCGCGCCCAAAACAGAGCUCUGACGGACGCAGGUCAGAUACUGUUUCCGCGGCUGACCGCUAGAGGCGCUGCACACCGCCCGUCAGGGGCGCUGUCGGCGCUCGCUCGCUUUCUAACGCUCUUUUUUGGAACAAAGCUCGACAUCCCGUGAGAACGCUUAGGCGCGUGAUAAGACUGCCUGCGGCCCGGAUCGACUGUGCUGUGUUGUUAUAACUGUGUGACUGUGUAGCCGCAGUUUGCUUGGCAUUCCGAGCGGAGGGUUCAACUGGUACAAUUUACAAUAGUGCUGGCGUGAUUCCACUGGCGUGGCGUUGUUACAAACGUCCAAUCCAGAGACGAUCUCCGACAGUGGUGAAGUCGUGAUGAUUUGAUAUACCACUACUUACUGUUGUCACACUAAUGUUGGUCAUAUGAAUAAAUAAUGUACUCAUUA